RNAcentral lists this ribosomal RNA (938 nucleotides) under Cortinarius alboroseus. RNAcentral's name for it is "partial large subunit ribosomal RNA". It matches the Rfam family "Eukaryotic large subunit ribosomal RNA", at positions 39 to 962 of the family's 3401-position model. The record is from RNAcentral. Lineage: Eukaryota; Fungi; Basidiomycota; Agaricomycetes; Agaricales; Cortinariaceae.
CAUAUCAAUAAGCGGAGGAAAAGAAACUAACAAGGAUUCCCCUAGUAACUGCGAGUGAAGCGGGAAAAGCUCAAAUUUAAAAUCUGUCAGUCUUUGGCUGUCCGAGUUGUAAUCUAGAGAAGCGUUAUCCGCGCUGGACCGUGUACAAGUCUCCUGGAAUGGAGCGUCAUAGAGGGUGAGAAUCCCGUCUUUGACACGGACUGCCAGGGCUUUGUGAUGCGCUCUCAAAGAGUCGAGUUGUUUGGGAAUGCAGCUCAAAAUGGGUGGUAAAUUCCAUCUAAAGCUAAAUAUUGGCGAGAGACCGAUAGCGAACAAGUACCGUGAGGGAAAGAUGAAAAGAACUUUGGAAAGAGAGUUAAACAGUACGUGAAAUUGCUGAAAGGGAAACGCUUGAAGUCAGUCGCGUUGUCCAGGGAUCAGCCUUGCUUUUGCUUGGUGUACUUUCUGGUUGACGGGUCAGCAUCAAUUUUUGACUGUUGGAAAAAGAUUGGGGGAAUGUGGCAUCUCCGGAUGUGUUAUAGCCCCUGGUUGCAUACAAUGGUUGGGAUUGAGGAACUCAGCACGCCGCAAGGCCGGGUUUUUAACCACGUACGUGCUUAGGAUGCUGGCAUAAUGGCUUUAAUCGACCCGUCUUGAAACACGGACCAAGGAGUCUAACAUGCCUGCGAGUGUUUGGGUGGAAAACCCAAGCGCGUAAUGAAAGUGAAAGUUGAGAUCCCUGUCGUGGGGAGCAUCGACGCCCGGACCUGACCUUUUGUGACGGUUCCGCGGUAGAGCAUGUAUGUUGGGACCCGAAAGAUGGUGAACUAUGCCUGAAUAGGGUGAAGCCAGAGGAAACUCUGGUGGAGGCUCGUAGCGAUUCUGACGUGCAAAUCGAUCGUCAAAUUUGGGUAUAGGGGCGAAAGACUAAUCGAACCAUCUAGUAGCUGGUUCCUGCC